AUUGAACGCUGGCGGCAUGCCUUACACAUGCAAGUCGAACGGCAGCACGGGAGCAAUCCUGGUGGCGAGUGGCGAACGGGUGAGUAAUACAUCGGAACGUGCCCAAUCGUGGGGGAUAACGCAGCGAAAGCUGUGCUAAUACCGCAUACGAUCUACGGAUGAAAGCAGGGGACCGCAAGGCCUUGCGCGAAUGGAGCGGCCGAUGGCAGAUUAGGUAGUUGGUGGGGUAAAGGCUCACCAAGCCAACGAUCUGUAGCUGGUCUGAGAGGACGACCAGCCACACUGGGACUGAGACACGGCCCAGACUCCUACGGGAGGCAGCAGUGGGGAAUUUUGGACAAAGGGCGCAAGCCUGAUCCAGCCAUGCCGCGUGCAGGAUGAAGGCCUUCGGGUUGUAAACUGCUUUUGUACGGAACGAAACGGCCUUUUCUAAUAAAGAGGGCUAAUGACGGUACCGUAAGAAUAAGCACCGGCCAACUACGUG
RNAcentral lists this ribosomal RNA (484 nucleotides) under uncultured bacterium. RNAcentral's name for it is "partial 16S ribosomal RNA". It matches the Rfam family "Bacterial small subunit ribosomal RNA", at positions 30 to 507 of the family's 1533-position model. The record is from RNAcentral.